CCUACGGGAGGCUGCAGUGGGGAAUAUUGCACAAUGGGCGAAAGCCUGAUGCAGCAACGCCGCGUGAAGGAAGAAGGGUUUCGGCACGUAAACUUCUAUCAACAGUGACGAAAGAAAUGACGGUACAUGAAUAAGAACCCCCGGCUAACUACGUGCCAGCAGCCGAGGUAAUAAGUAGGGGGCAAGCGUUAUCCGGAAUUACUGGGUGUAAAGGGUGAGUAGGCGGCAUGGUAAGCCAGAUGUGAAAGCCUUGGGCUUAACCCGAGGAUUGCAUUUGGAACUAUCAAGCUAGAGUACAGGAGAGGAAAGCGGAAUUCCUAGUGUAGCGGUGAAAUGCGUAGAUAUUAGGAAGAACACCAGUGGCGAAGGCGGCUUUCUGGACUGAAACUGACGCUGAGGCACGAAAGCGUGGGGAGCGAACAGGAUUAGAUACCCCAGUAGUC
RNAcentral lists this ribosomal RNA (443 nucleotides) under uncultured bacterium. RNAcentral's name for it is "partial 16S ribosomal RNA". It matches the Rfam family "Bacterial small subunit ribosomal RNA", at positions 338 to 795 of the family's 1533-position model. The record is from RNAcentral.